Long non-coding RNA from Danio rerio (zebrafish), 1622 nucleotides. The record is from Ensembl. Lineage: Eukaryota; Metazoa; Chordata; Actinopteri; Cypriniformes; Danionidae.
AGUAAACAGACGGGGGGAUAUUUAAAGCACCAGUGGGGAAGGACACAGCUCUAGCUCCAUUCAAUGCAAAUUCGCUUCUCUCUGUCAAUGAGUCACUAUUGUCACCUUAAUUAACCAGGAGAGCUGAGAAAACACAGUGAUCGCUUUCUCGCUGCCAGUAAUUUAUAAGAUGUGACCUUUGUCCUUUGUUUAUGGGCAAUGUUUGACCUCGACAGACUGACUAAACAGAGUAAAUGAGUCAAAGGAGAUAUCCCAAUCAAAGAAGGCGGAGCUUCAGGACCACACCUACCUGUUACAUCAUCACUGUGGACAAAUGGUGGAUCAGGAGUGUUCUCCAGCUGAUAAGUCUGCACAGUUAUUUCAAUCUUCACUUAAUCCAAAAAUUAGUACCAACUUUGGUCAAUUAUUUGAUUUUAUUUCAAGUAUAUCAGUGCUUUAGUUCACCCAAAAAUGUAGUUGUGUCAAUAUUUACUGGUCCUUGUUUUAAACAUGAGUUUCUUUUUUUCUGGUGAGCAAAAAAGAAGAUAUUUUGAAAAAAGCUCUAAAUUGAUUUUUCAUAAUAUUUUCUUCCUACUAUGGAUUUCAAUGGCUACCAGUAUCCCAACAUUUUUCAAUAUAUCUUCUUUUGUGUUGAGUUAAAAAAACAAAACUGGUGAGUACAUUUAAAGUUUUUGAGGGAACUAUCCUUUUAAUGAUGUCACAUGGCACUUAUAGGUCCAACAUUUGACAUAUCAAAUGCUACAAGCAAACAUGAAAUGAUUGUGCUGUCAUGCUACCAAAAUAUAAGUUUAAAUCACUUCAAUAUGUGAUUGACAUGUUCGUUCAAUAUGUGGUCAUUAUGGCCUCACCCUGUACAUAGAGAAUGCAUGAUAGUCCAUUCAAAGGUAAAAGCAAAAAUGAAACAUGAAAAGCUAUUUAAGUAGCCUGAAUAUUGAUAGCAGCUCCCUGUUGUGUGUACUUUAUAUUCAAUAGGAUAACACUGAUAUGAUGUCAUUGAUGGUCAAUGCAAUUAUAUUGACCUUAUUGCUAGUCAAUAUUUUAACGUUCUUUCCAAAUUUAAGUAUUGUUGGAAACCUUAAGGAUAAUGAAAGUACCAAAAUCACAGUCACCAAAAUGUAUAACAUUGUGUUUUUACGACAUUAUAACAAUAAAUUUGAAUUCAUUUAUUUUUUUCUGUUGAAUACAAAAUAACAUAUUUUGAACACUUUUGGACACCAGUAGCCACUGACAUCCUUAGAAGGAAAAGUACUAUGGAAGUUCGUGGCUGUGGGUUUUCAAUACUCUUUGUGCUAUAUUUUUAACAAGUGAUUAGUUUACUACACGGGUGAGUAAAUCCUUGCUUUCAAGGUGAUAAGCUGACUUUAAUUUUAAAUAGGGUAAACGUUUUGUCUUAAGACUAUUGAGUUAAAACAAACUAUGGGGAUAAUUAUAAAAUUUCUCAAACAAAUAUUUUAACAAAUAUUUGCGCUUAACAAACGAAAUUAAUUAUUUAUAGACUAAUUGAUGUCUGUGCGUAAAGGUUUCCCUAUCCAAGAGCAAAAGUGAAAGUAGAUCGAUUAUCUCUCAUUCUUGCGCAGUAGAUGCUCUGUUUAACUGUUUUCUGUUAAAAAAAAAAAAAAAAC